RNAcentral lists this transfer RNA (84 nucleotides) under Felis catus (domestic cat). It matches the Rfam family "tRNA". Rfam says of the family: Transfer RNA (tRNA) molecules are approximately 80 nucleotides in length. Their secondary structure includes four short double-helical elements and three loops (D, anti-codon, and T loops). The record is from Rfam by way of RNAcentral. RNAcentral also lists the same sequence under 3 other names. Lineage: Eukaryota; Metazoa; Chordata; Mammalia; Carnivora; Felidae.
GCCUGGGUGGCUAAGUGGGUAAAGCAUCUGACUUGGGCUCAGGUUAUGAUCUCACGGUUUGAGUUCAAGACCCCACGUCAGGCU